AAAAGUUUGGUCCUAGCUUUAUCAUCAAUUAUAUCUCGACUUACACAUUGCAAGUAUCCACAUACCUGUGAGGCCGCCUUUCCCACUACCCCAGAAGAAAGAGCAGGUAUCAGGCACAAACCCAGCCUAAAACACCAAGUUUCACCACAUCCACAAGGACAUGCAGCAGUGAUUAACAUUAUUCAUAAGCGACAGCUUGACCUAGUUAGAGAUAUCAAGAGCCGGCUAACCUGUGUGCCAGCCGCCGCGGCUAAACCAAGGGCUCAAAUUGAUUAUUCUCGGCGUUAAGCGUGAUAUUGGGCCACAAUUAAUUAGAGCUAAACAAGGAUCCAGUUGUUAUAAGCCUAUCUAUUAGAAAGCCAAAGAUAAAACCUACUCUAAAUACUGCCUGACACACGACAGCUAACCCACAAACUAGGAUUAGAUACCCUACUAUGCUUAGCCGUAAACUAAAUUACACUCUCAACCGCCUGGGUAUUACAAGCUACGCUUAAAACCCAAAGGACUUGACGGUGACCCAUCCGACUAGAGGAGCCUGUUCUACAAUUGAUAACCCCCGCUUCACCCCACCUUCACUAGCAUACCCAGCCUGUAUACCUCCGUCGUAAGCUUACCAUAUGAACGUUAAAUAGUGGGCUUAAUUAAUUAUCUUAAACACGUCAGGUCAAGGUGCAGCCAAUGGGAAGGAAAGCAAUGGGCUACAAUUUCUACUAUAGAAUAAACGAAAAGUUAUAUGAAACUCUAACCCAAGGCGGAUUUAGUAGUAAGAGAGAAGCAGAGGGCCUCUCUUAAUAUGGACCUGGGUCGCGUACAAACCGCCCGUCACCCUCUUCAAUGUCAAUAAACUAUUACUAAUAUUAAUUUACACAAAAGAAGAGGCAAGUCGUAACAUGGUAAGCGUACUGGAAAGUGCACUUGGAACAA
Molecule: non-coding RNA, 924 nt
Filed under: Cornufer trossulus (Torakina sticky-toed frog)
Lineage: Eukaryota; Metazoa; Chordata; Amphibia; Anura; Ceratobatrachidae
Description: 12S ribosomal RNA
Rfam family: Bacterial small subunit ribosomal RNA
Source: RNAcentral